GUUUCUUGUACCAUGAGUGUUUGUUUGUCUUUCAUGGUUUUAGCAUGGCUCUUCAGCUCUCGCGGUGUCCUGACAGGUAAAACUUUAAUUUAUUUUAAUAUUUCUACUUUUUAAACAAUAUUUUUGCGUGCGAGAAGUGCAAGAUGCUGCAUUUAUUGACGGAUUUAACGCAUAUCUCAAAGAUUAUCGUCGUUACCAAAUGGAGGCUAUACAACUCUCCAAAAACAUUCACAUAUCCACAUUACACUACCGAUAAAGUCAAUCAAAAAAGACUUGUUAAAAGUUUUAGUGAAUAUACUUAAUUAACGAAUGGCAAAAGAUUGGUACAAAUACCAAAACUCUAGCAACAAAUAAAAAAAUGUAUUGUGAACUUCUUUGCAGAAAUUAAAACUUCACCCAGAGAUAAAUAAUCGAGUAAUACCU
RNAcentral lists this long non-coding RNA (423 nucleotides) under Drosophila guanche. Lineage: Eukaryota; Metazoa; Arthropoda; Insecta; Diptera; Drosophilidae. The record is from RNAcentral.